UACGAAGGGGCUAGCGUUGUUCGGAAUUAUUGGGCGUAAAGCGCACGUAGGCGGUUCGUUAAGUCGGAUGUGAAAGCCCUCGGCUCAACUGAGGAAGUGCACCCGAAACUGGCGAGCUUGAGUACGAAAGAGGAUGCGGAAUUCCCGGUGUAGAGGUGAAAUUCGUAGAUAUCGGGAAGGAACACCGGUGGCGAAGGCGGCGAUCUGGGUCGAUACU
Molecule: ribosomal RNA, 217 nt
Filed under: uncultured bacterium
Lineage: Bacteria
Description: partial 16S ribosomal RNA
Rfam family: Bacterial small subunit ribosomal RNA
Source: RNAcentral